UGGGGAAUUUUGGACAAUGGGCGCAAGCCUGAUCCAGCAAUGACGCGUGCAGGAUGAAGGCCUUCGGGUUGUAAACUGCUUUUGUACGGAGCGAAAAGGUCUGCCCUAAUACGGUGGGCUCAUGACGGUACCGUAAGAAUAAGCACCGGCUAACUACGUGCCAGCAGCCGCGGUAAUACGUAGGGUGCGAGCGUUAAUCGGAAUUACUGGGCGUAAAGCGUGCGCAGGCGGUUAUAUAAGACAGGUGUGAAAUCCCCGGGCUCAACCUGGGACCUGCAUUUGUGACUGUAUAGCUAGAGUACGGUAGAGGGGGAUGGAAUUCCGCGUGUAGCAGUGAAAUGCGUAGAUAUGCGGAGGAACACCGAUGGCGAAGGCAAUCCCCUGGACCUGUACUGACGCUCAUGCACGAAAGCGUGGGGAGCAAACA
This 427-nucleotide ribosomal RNA is filed under the name uncultured bacterium. RNAcentral's name for it is "bacterial SSU rRNA". It matches the Rfam family "Bacterial small subunit ribosomal RNA", at positions 355 to 774 of the family's 1533-position model. The record is from RNAcentral.